UGGGGCUGUGACCUCCCGUGCCUACUGAACUGAUAUCAGUGUGUGUACGGAAUACUGGCUCAGUUCAGCAGGAACAGGAGUUAAGCCCAACUG
This 93-nucleotide microRNA precursor is filed under the name Lepisosteus oculatus (spotted gar). RNAcentral describes it as "Danio rerio miR-24-4 stem-loop (ENSLOCG00000020960.1)". The stretch from base 11 to 80 matches the Rfam family "mir-24 microRNA precursor family". From Rfam's summary of the family: This family represents the microRNA (miRNA) mir-24 family. miRNAs are transcribed as ~70nt precursors (modelled here) and subsequently processed by the Dicer enzyme to give a ~22nt product. In this case the mature sequence comes from the 3' arm of the precursor. Lineage: Eukaryota; Metazoa; Chordata; Actinopteri; Semionotiformes; Lepisosteidae. The record is from RNAcentral.